Molecule: ribosomal RNA, 327 nt
Filed under: uncultured eukaryote
Lineage: Eukaryota
Description: partial 18S ribosomal RNA
Rfam family: Eukaryotic small subunit ribosomal RNA
Source: RNAcentral
CCCUUAGAUGUCCUGGGCCGCACGCGCGCUACACUGACGGAGCCAGCGAGCUUACCCCUUUGCCGAAAGGCAUGGGAAAUCUUUUGAAUCUCCGUCGUGCUGGGGAUAGAUCAUUGCAAUUAUUGAUCUUGAACGAGGAAUUCCUAGUAAGCGCAAGUCAUCAACUUGCGUUGAUUACGUCCCUGCCCUUUGUACACACCGCCCGUCGCUCCUACCGAUUGAGUGGUCCGGUGAGGCUUUGGGAUCUGAGCGGAAAGAGCGUUUCGCUGUUUCUGCUCGGAAAACUCAGUCGAACCUUAUCAUUUAGAGGAAGGAGAAGUCGUAACA